Molecule: ribosomal RNA, 1494 nt
Filed under: uncultured organism
Description: 16S ribosomal RNA
Rfam family: Bacterial small subunit ribosomal RNA
Source: RNAcentral
GGAUGAACGCUGGCGGCGUGCCUAAUACAUGCAAGUCGAACUAGUUCUGAUUAUUGAAAGGUGCUUGCAUCUUGAUUUUAAUUUUGAACGAGUGGCGGACGGGUGAGUAACACGUGGGUAACCUGCCCUUAAGUGGGGGAUAACAUUUGGAAACAGAUGCUAAUACCGCAUAAAUCCAAGAACCGCAUGGUUCUUGGCUGAAAGAUGGCGUAAGCUAUCGCUUUUGGAUGGACCCGCGGCGUAUUAGCUAGUUGGUGAGGUAACGGCUCACCAAGGCAAUGAUACGUAGCCGAACUGAGAGGUUGAUCGGCCACAUUGGGACUGAGACACGGCCCAAACUCCUACGGGAGGCAGCAGUAGGGAAUCUUCCACAAUGGACGCAAGUCUGAUGGAGCAACGCCGCGUGAGUGAAGAAGGCUUUCGGGUCGUAAAACUCUGUUGUUGGAGAAGAAUGGUCGGCAGAGUAACUGUUGUCGGCGUGACGGUAUCCAACCAGAAAGCCACGGCUAACUACGUGCCAGCAGCCGCGGUAAUACGUAGGUGGCAAGCGUUAUCCGGAUUUAUUGGGCGUAAAGCGAGCGCAGGCGGUUUUUUAAGUCUGAUGUGAAAGCCCUCGGCUUAACCGAGGAAGUGCCAUCGGAAACUGGGAAACUUGAGUGCAGAAAAGGACAGUGGAACUCCAUGUGUAGCGGUGAAAUGCGUAGAUAUAUGGAAGAACACCAGUGGCGAAGGCGGCUGUCUGGUCUGUAACUGACGCUGAGGCUCGAAAGCAUGGGUUAGGGAACAGGAUUAGAUACCCUGGUAGUUCAUGCGGUAAACGAUGAAUGCUAGGUGUUGGAGGGUUUCCGCCCUUCAGUGCCGGCAGCUAACGCAUUAAACCUUUCCCCCUGGGGAGUGCGACCGCAAGGGUUGAAACUCAAAGGAAUUGACGGGGGGCCCGCACAAGCGGAGGAGCAUGUGGUUUAAUUCGAAGCAACGCGAAGAACCUUACCAGGUCUUGACAUCUUUUGAUCACCUGAGAGAUCAGGUUUCCCCUUCGGGGGCAAAAUGACAGGUGGUGCAUGGUUGUCGUCAGCUCGUGUCGUGAGAUGUUGGGUUAAGUCCCGCAACGAGCGCAACCCUUAUGACUAGUUGCCAGCAUUUAGUUGGGCACUAUAGUAAGACUGCCGGUGACAAACCGGAGGAAGGUGGGGAUGACGUCAAAUCAUCAUGCCCCUUAUGACCUGGGCUACACACGUGCUACAAUGGAUGGUACAACGAGUUGCGAGACCGCGAGGUCAAGCUAAUCUCUUAAAGCCAUUCUCAGUUCGGACUGUAGGCUGCAACUCGCCUACACGAAGUCGGAAUCGCUAGUAAUCGCGGAUCAGCACGCCGCGGUGAAUACGUUCCCGGGCCUUGUACACACCGCCCGUCACACCAUGAGAGUUUGUAACACCCGAAGCCGGUGGCGUAACCCUUUUAGGGAGCGAGCCGUCUAAGGUGGGACAAAUGAUU